UGCCCGUGAUGUGGCAAUCUCUGAGAAACUUUUGAAGUGCUCCUAUGUCUCAGGUAGACCUUCCCCUUGAUUCUGUUGCAACCCCACAAUUUUACUUCUGAGUGA
Small nucleolar RNA from Lycium barbarum (goji berry), 105 nucleotides. The record is from RefSeq and is a predicted model, not a curated record. Lineage: Eukaryota; Viridiplantae; Streptophyta; Magnoliopsida; Solanales; Solanaceae.